RNAcentral lists this ribosomal RNA (440 nucleotides) under uncultured bacterium. RNAcentral's name for it is "partial 16S ribosomal RNA". It matches the Rfam family "Bacterial small subunit ribosomal RNA", at positions 338 to 795 of the family's 1533-position model. The record is from RNAcentral.
CCUACGGGUGGCAGCAGUGAGGAAUAUUGGGCAAUGGAGGAAACUCUGACCCAGCCACGCCGCGUGAGUGAAGAAGGUUUUCGAAUUGUAAAGCUCUUUCGGAUGUGAAGAUGAUGACGGUAACAUCUAAAGAAGCCCCGGCAAACUUCGUGCCAGGAGCCGCGGUAAUACGGAGGGGGCAAGCGUUGUUCCGAUUUACUGGGCGGAAAGGGUGUGUAGGCGGGGAAGUAAUAUAGGGGUGAAAUGCCUGAGCUCAACUCGGGAUAUGCCAUUAUAACUGUUUUUCUAGAGUGAAAGAGAGGAUAUUGGAAUACCCAGUGUAGAGGUGAAAUGCGUAGAUAUUGGGUAGAACACCGGAGGCGAAGGUGAGUAUCUGGCUGUCAACUGACGCUGAGGCACGAAAGCAUGGGGAUCAAACAGGAUUAGAUACCCGGGUAGUC